This is a non-coding RNA of Picea glauca (white spruce), 74 nucleotides long. The record is from Rfam. Lineage: Eukaryota; Viridiplantae; Streptophyta; Pinopsida; Pinales; Pinaceae.
UGCCUAUUAGCUCAGUUGGUUAGAGCGUCGUGCUAAUAACGCGAAGUUUACAGGUUCGAGACCUGCAUGGGCCA